AGCAUGGAAAAGAAACAAAGAACAACAAAGCAUGCGUGUUAUUGGCUUGUCAAAGGACGCAGACAGUUAACAGGACUAGAAAUGCGACGCAGUGCAGAUCUAAUGCCUUGAUGCCUGACAUUUCCUGAGUUACUGUGCCUUUGAGUCUGUCCUUCCAAGGAAAAAUCCAAAAACCAUGCUUCUUGAAAGACAGUGU
This is a long non-coding RNA of Lonchura striata (white-rumped munia), 196 nucleotides long. RefSeq lists it as uncharacterized. Lineage: Eukaryota; Metazoa; Chordata; Aves; Passeriformes; Estrildidae. The record is from RefSeq and is a predicted model, not a curated record.